UACGAAGGGAGCUAGCGUUGUUCGGAAUCACUGGGCGUAAAGCGCACGUAGGCGGAUGUGUCAGUCAGGGGUGAAAUCCCGGAGCUCAACUUCGGAACUGCCUUUGAUACAGCACGUCUUGAGUCCGAUAGAGGUGGGUGGAAUUCCUAGUGUAGAGGUGAAAUUCGUAGAUAUUAGGAAGAACACCGAUGGCGAAGGCGGCAUCCUGGACCGGUAUUGACGCUGAGGAGCGAAAGCCAGGGGAGCAAACGGG
RNAcentral lists this ribosomal RNA (253 nucleotides) under uncultured bacterium. Its description in RNAcentral is "partial 16S ribosomal RNA". It matches the Rfam family "Bacterial small subunit ribosomal RNA", at positions 524 to 776 of the family's 1533-position model. The record is from RNAcentral.